RNAcentral lists this ribosomal RNA (254 nucleotides) under uncultured bacterium. Its description in RNAcentral is "partial 16S ribosomal RNA". It matches the Rfam family "Bacterial small subunit ribosomal RNA", at positions 524 to 776 of the family's 1533-position model. The record is from RNAcentral.
UACGGGGGGAGCAAGCGUUGUUCGGAUUUACUGGGCGUAAAGGGCGCGUAGGCGGCCACCGCAAGUCGACUGUGAAAUCUCCGGGCUUAACCCGGAAAGGUCAACCGAUACUGCGGGGCUAGAGUGCAGAAGGGGCAACUGGAAUUCUCGGUGUAGCGGUGAAAUGCGUAGAUAUCGAGAGGAACACCUGCGGCGAAGGCGGGUUGCUGGGCUGACACUGACGCUGAAGCGCGAAAGCUAGGGGAGCGAACGGG